Molecule: ribosomal RNA, 207 nt
Filed under: Triticum aestivum (bread wheat)
Lineage: Eukaryota; Viridiplantae; Streptophyta; Magnoliopsida; Poales; Poaceae
Description: partial small subunit ribosomal RNA
Source: RNAcentral
AUGUGUGUCCCAUAGAACCAUGGAGGAAUGGCAUUCCGUGAUAUGCAGUGUUCAAUCUGGGCUAAGCAGGCUUGGCGUCUACUUGAUAACCCUGAUUCCUUGUGUGCCACUAUUCUAAGAGCAAAGUACUACCCUGAUGGCAAUUUGCUGAACUCCAGGCCAAAGCAUGGAGCAUCUUUCACCUGGCAAAGGAUUAGGGAGGGCAUA